AUAUCAAUAAGGGGAGGAAAAGAAACUAACAAGGAUUCCCCUAGUAACUGCGAGUGAAGCGGGAAAAGCUCAAAUUUAAAAUCUGGCGGUCUUUGGCCGUCCGAGUUGUAAUUUAGAGAAGCGUUUUCCGCGCUGGACCGUGCACAAGUCUCCUGGAAUGGAGCGUCAUAGGGAGGA
This 177-nucleotide ribosomal RNA is filed under the name uncultured Agaricales. RNAcentral's name for it is "partial large subunit ribosomal RNA". It matches the Rfam family "Eukaryotic large subunit ribosomal RNA", at positions 40 to 214 of the family's 3401-position model. The record is from RNAcentral. Lineage: Eukaryota; Fungi; Basidiomycota; Agaricomycetes; Agaricales.